GCUCCUGUAUCCUAGUGGUUAAAGCGUCCGCCUCAGAUGUGAAAGGUCGUGGGUUCGAACCCCGGCUGAGACA
Non-coding RNA from Potamilus streckersoni, 73 nucleotides. The record is from the annotation of a GenBank genome assembly. Lineage: Eukaryota; Metazoa; Mollusca; Bivalvia; Unionida; Unionidae.